This is a long non-coding RNA of Dinoponera quadriceps, 839 nucleotides long. RefSeq lists it as uncharacterized. The transcript has 3 exons. The record is from RefSeq and is a predicted model, not a curated record. NCBI's taxonomy places the organism in Eukaryota, Metazoa, Arthropoda, Insecta, Hymenoptera, Formicidae.
GCAGGCACGAACACGUCGCGCGUUACGACGCUCGCUCUUUUUCGAUCUCCGUAGAUCGAUUGAAGUGUUUGCGAGGCGAAUUACGAUGUUGUACACGCAACCGUUAUGCUGUGCUCGUUGUGAACAAUAGCGAGAUACCGAAAUUCGGAGGAUCUGGCGGAACCUGUGAAUGUACCAUGAGUAUCGGGAGUAGCUGUUCCGGACGUGGAUACCGUUAGCGGACGAUCAGUUUUAAGGUUAAGUUAGGUUGAGAACGGCGCAUCGGAUGCUGGGAGCAGCUCGUCACUUCAUGGACUUCGUUGGCCGUCGUGCAAUGUAUGUUUCAGUGUAAUGUGUGCCACGGAGGAGCCAAGAACGGACGCCGAAUCGGGAAAUCAGAGCGCAGGAUGCAAGACGUCGAGGGAAUGCGAGCGAUAAAAUAUUUCCAGACGUGUGAAAUUAUUGAUUGCGCAGAAAAUUUUAGACCUCUGACGAGUUCACCGCGAAUCAUCAUUUGGCAAGUAGAAUUAAAAUUACACGAAUCUCCGAUUAUAUUCUCAUCAACUUGUAUCUAUACUUAUUACAUUAUUUCAUACAAGAAAUAUUGAUCCGUACGGCCGAAUAACGGCCCGUGAAUAUAAAUCUGUGAUUAAUUAUGCUCGAUCAAAGAUCCGAAAUAAUUCACAACUGUGAAUACCAGUUUUAGAAUGUAAUGUAGAUCUCGCAACAAGUGUUGACGUUUAUAACAAUGCUGCUUCGAGCGCGAAUAUGAUUUUGUUUAAAUUUACCAGCGCUUUUUCCGCUUCCAUUUAACUCCGUUAUUGUACAGAAUUCAAAUUUAAAUUCCUAUUCGUAAUUUA